Molecule: ribosomal RNA, 468 nt
Filed under: uncultured bacterium
Lineage: Bacteria
Description: partial 16S ribosomal RNA
Rfam family: Bacterial small subunit ribosomal RNA
Source: RNAcentral
GACGAACGCUGGCGGCGUGCUUAACACAUGCAAGUCGAACGGAAAGGCCCUGCUUUUGUGGGGUGCUCGAGUGGCGAACGGGUGAGUAACACGUGAGUAACCUGCCCUUGACUUUGGGAUAACUUCAGGAAACUGGGGCUAAUACCGGAUAGGAGCUCCUGCUGCAUGGUGGGGGUUGGAAAGUUUCGGCGGUUGGGGAUGGACUCGCGGCUUAUCAGCUUGUUGGUGGGGUAGUGGCUUACCAAGGCUUUGACGGGUAGCCGGCCUGAGAGGGUGACCGGCCACAUUGGGACUGAGAUACGUCCCAGACUCCUACAGAAGGCAGCAGUGGGGAAUAUUGCACAAUGGGCGGAAGCCUGAUGCAGCAACGCCGCGUGCGGGAUGACGUCCUUCGGGUUGUAAACCGCUUUCGCCUGUGACGAAGCGUGAGUUACGGUAAUGGGUAAAGAAGCACCGGCUAACUACGUG